RNAcentral lists this ribosomal RNA (405 nucleotides) under uncultured bacterium. RNAcentral's name for it is "partial 16S ribosomal RNA". It matches the Rfam family "Bacterial small subunit ribosomal RNA", at positions 29 to 526 of the family's 1533-position model. The record is from RNAcentral.
AUUGAACGCUGGCGGCAGGCCUAACACAUGCAAGUCGAACGAGUGGCGGACGGGUGAGUAAUGUCUGGGAAACUGCCUGAUGGAGGGGGAUAACUACUGGAAACGGUAGCUAAUACCGCAUACCAUCGGAUGUGCCCAGAUGGGAUUAGCUAGUAGGUGGGGUAAAGGCUCACCUAGGCGACGAUCCCUAGCUGGUCUGAGAGGAUGACAGGCCACAUGGAAAUUGAGACAGGGUCAAGACCCCUACGGGGGGAAGCAGUGGGGAAUUUUGAACAAGGGGGGCAAGCCGGAGGCACCCAUGCGGGGUGUAGGAAGAAGGCUUUCGGGUGGUAAAGUACUUCCGGCGGGGAGGCGUUACCCGCAGAAGAAGCACCGGCUACUCCGUGCCAGCAGCCGCGGUAAUAC